Molecule: ribosomal RNA, 834 nt
Filed under: archaeon enrichment culture
Lineage: Archaea
Description: bacterial SSU rRNA
Rfam family: Archaeal small subunit ribosomal RNA
Source: RNAcentral
GCGGCCACUGCUAUCAAGUUCCGACUAAGCCAUGCGAGUCAAGGUAUCGUAAGAUGCCGGCAAACUGCUCAGUAACACGUGGAUAAUCUAACCUUGAGUAAGGGAUAACUUCGGGAAACUGAAGGUAAUACCUUAUAAUUGCUUAAAACUGGAAUGUUUUUGCAAUAAAAGUUACGACGCCCAAGGAUGAGUCUGCGACCUAUCAGGUAGUAGGUGGUGUAAUGGACCACCUAGCCUCAGACGGGUACGGGCCCUGGGAGGGGUAGCCCGGAGAUGGACUCUGAGACAUAAGUCCAGGCCCUACGGGGCGCAGCAGGCGCGAACACUGUGCAAUGCGCGAAAGCGCGACACGGGGAGCUUGAGUGUCUUGGCAUAGCCAAGACUUUUCUCAUUCCUAAAAAGCAUGAGGAAUAAGUGCUGGGUAAGACGGGUGCCAGCCGCCGCGGUAACACCCGCAGCACGAGUAGUGGUCACUUUUAUUGAGCCUAAAGCGUUCGUAGCCGGUUUUGUAAAUCUUCAGAUAAAGCCUGAAGCUUAACUCCAGAAAGUCUGAAGAGACUGCAAGACUUGAGAUCGGGUGAGGUUAAACGUACUUUCAGGGUAGGGGUAAAAUCCUGUAAUCCCGGAAGGACGACCAGUGGCGAAAGCGUUUAACUAGAACGAAUCUGACGGUAAGGAACGAAGGCUAGGGUAGCAAACCGGAUUAGAUACCCGGGUAGUCCUAGCUGUAAACAUUGCCCAUUUGAUGUUGCUUUUCCGUUGAGGGAAGGCAGUGUCGGAGCGAAGGUGUUAAAUGGGCCGCUUGGGAAGUAUGGUCGCAAGACUGAAACUUAA